Molecule: small RNA, 372 nt
Filed under: Histoplasma capsulatum
Lineage: Eukaryota; Fungi; Ascomycota; Eurotiomycetes; Onygenales; Ajellomycetaceae
Also listed under: 1 other name
Description: hypothetical RNA
Source: RNAcentral
ACCAUAUGAUGAUGGAACGAUAGCUUUUUAGACAUUGAUGCGCUGCCUGCACGGUUAGGUUUGGAUCUCUGUAUUUCCUGUUUGUUCUGGCUACAGUACUAUACAUUCAACGGCCCCCCGGAACACCUGAGGAUAAUAUAGAAUGCGAUAACUUGUUCUUUGCUCUGCAGUUGAUUGAUUAUAUUAGUCUUUCAUAAUAUAGUUAUAGAGCAACUCUGAGGUGCUGAUGGACAAUUUACUGUUGCAAGAUGGGCAAAUGGGCUAAACCUAUAGAAGAAUGAUAUAAUUCAAUGUGGAUAAAUGAAUCUGCCAGAGAGACCAGUUCAAGAAGAUUAAAGUAGAUUGUGAUAUAUUAUUCAAAACACUGCUGCC